This 403-nucleotide ribosomal RNA is filed under the name uncultured bacterium. RNAcentral's name for it is "bacterial SSU rRNA". It matches the Rfam family "Bacterial small subunit ribosomal RNA", at positions 355 to 774 of the family's 1533-position model. The record is from RNAcentral.
UAGGGAAUAUUGCAAAAUGGGCGAAAGCCCGAUGCAGCAACGCCGCGUGGGCGAUGAAGGCCUUCGGGUCGUAAAGCCCUUUUUGAGGGGAUGAGGAAGGACAGUACCCUCAGAAUAAGCCUCGGCUAACUACGUGACAGCAGCCGCGGUAAAACGUAGGAGGCGAGCGUUAUCCGGAUUUACUGGGCGUAAAGCGCGUGCAGGCGGAUUGGAGAGUUGGAUGUGAAAGCUCCCGGCUUAACUGGGAGAGGUCGUUCAAUACUUCCAGUCUUGAGUGCAGUAGAGGGAAGUGGAAUUCCGGGUGUAGUGGUGAAAUGCGUAGAUAUCCGGAGGAACACCAGUGGCGAAAGCGGCUUCCUGGACUGUAACUGACGCUCAGACGCGAAAGCUAGGGUAGCAAACG